ACCUCGACUCAGACGGGGAGACAGGUCCGGCCCGCAGCGCCCGCUCGUCCCCCGCUCCCCGCUCCCUCUCUCCAGCUCCCCGCCCCCUCUCUCCAGCUCCCCGCCCCCUCUCUCCAGCUCGGCGGCACCAUGGUGGCUGCCCUCCGUCCGUGUGCGCUGCUGGCGGCACUGGCCGUCAGCGGCGCGCUGGCCGCCUUCGACCCGUACGUGGCGGGCCCGUACACGGCCGGCCACCUGCUCAUCGGCGCCGCCUCGCAGACCGGGCUGCCGACCGACGUCAGUGUCUACGUGCCGGACGGCGCGGCCGGCAACUUCCCCGUCAUCAUAUUCCUCACAGAGUUCCAGGACACGGUGCCGGCCGAGAUCCAGGAGGUGAUGCUGCAGCGGGUGGCCUCUCACGGGUUCCUGGUGAUCACGCCCUGGUCGCUGACCGAGUCCGGCGGGCCCACCGAGCGAGCCAUCAAGCUAGUAGAUGUCAUGGCCUGGAUCCACAGCACGCUGCCCGACUACAUCACCCAGAACGGCUUCCCGGGCGCGGUGCCCGACUUCGAGCGCACCACGCUGCUGGCCCACUCGGCUGGCUCGCACGUAGCCGUCAGCUACCUGGAGGGCUUCUGCGAGCAGGAGACCAGCGUCAAAAGCCUCAUCCUGAUGAGCCCCGUGGACGGCUUCGAUCCGUUCGGCAUCGUGGACGAGUUCUGCAUCGUGCCUGGUCAGCGAGUCAACUUCACACUGCCGGCGCUAGUGCUCACCGCCGGACUGGACGCCGAAAAAGGCUCGCUGCUGUACCCGGCCUGCGCUCCUGCCGACCUGAGUAACGACCGCUUCUACAACGCCUUCUACGCCCCGCGCUGGCAGAUCAACGCCACCCAGUACGGGCACGGCGACUUUCUGGACGACGAGUUCUGGGCGCUCAUCAAGGACACCAAAUUCUGCGCCUUCUGUUCGGAGGAGGACUGCGCUAACCGCGCCGGCUACCGCGACUACCAGGCCGGCCAGAUCGUCUCCUUCGCGAUGGCCUCGACGGACCCGGCCGGCCACUGCGACCAGCUGCAGUACAUCGAAGACCCGGCGCUGAUGCCCGUGGCCACCGUUAUCAGAAACAACCGGCCCGCCGACGUGUGCAGCCGGUUCAUGGCCGGCUGCGCCCGGCCCUAGGCGGACUGACCAGCGGCCGCGCCCGGCCCUAGGCGGACUGACCAGUGCAGAGGCCGAGGGCGGCCCUAGGCGGACUGUCCAGUUCUGCGCCCGGCCCUAGGCGGACUGUCCAGUUCUGCGCCCGGCCCUAGGCGGACUGUCCAGUUCUGCGCCCGGCCCUAGGCGGACUGUCCAGUGCAGAGGCCGAGGGCGGCCCUAGGCGGACUGUCCAGUGCAGAGGCCGAGGGCGGCCCUAGGCGGACUGUCCAGUUCUGCGCCCGGCCCUAGGCGGACUGUCCAGUGCAGAGGCCGAGGGCGGCCCUAGGCGGACUGACCAGUGCAGAGGCCGAGGGCGGCCCUAGGCGGACUGUCCAGUUCUGCGCCCGGCCCUAGGCGGACUGUCCAGUGCAGAG
RNAcentral lists this unclassified non-coding RNA (1550 nucleotides) under Amphibalanus amphitrite. RNAcentral's name for it is "chlorophyllase-2-like, transcript variant X2". The record is from RNAcentral. Lineage: Eukaryota; Metazoa; Arthropoda; Thecostraca; Balanomorpha; Balanidae.